CCAAAGUGCCCAAUCUCUUUUGUAUCUGAUUGUUGCAGGCCAUUUUGCCCGAGGCCCAAUUAAACACAAAAUAAAACUACCCAAUUACAACACCCAAUACCCAACAGCCCAAUAGCCCAAAAAUCAUCAAAAAAUAGAAAAAAAACCUAACCCUAGCCUCUGACAGCCACUUGUGCCGCACCCAGGCCUGCUAGUCAACCACCCCACCGACUCACCUGCUCCAACUGCUCCGCCAGUACCUGCAACAAACACCAACAAGCAACAGCAAAUACUGAUAGCAAAAAGAGAUUUUUUGGUAGUUUGGCUAUAUAAGGCCGAUUGAAAAAAGAACUCAGGGGCUUUUUUUCUUUUUCGAUUUGUAACCAAGAAAAAUUCUAACAGAAUAAUAAAAUAUCAAGCUUCAAGGUGAUUCCCGGGAUUUUUGACUGCAAUAUUUAUUUUUUUUCUUUUUUUCGUUGUAUUUAUUUUAUUUUAUUUUGAUUUUGUUAAACGAAAUAAAAUAAACAUAAAAUAAAGAAAAAGAGACUCACCGGAGUCAUCCCGUGACCGCGUCGUCGGAGGUUGACUCUCCGUAUUCAGAGCCAGAUCUGAAGGGAACGAAGGUUUCCUUAUCCUUUUCGCAAGUUUAGAGUGUUUUUUUGGUAUUUUGGGGCUCAGAUCGGUGUUCGGGAGGUCAUUUUAGGCCGGAAGGGCCCAUUUUUGGAACUCCGACCACCGUACACGGUGGUCGACGGAAGGUGGCCCGAUGACCGGAAGCGGCCGGAUUUUGGCCAGCCUUGGGGGCUUGAGAGAGAGAAAGCUCUCUGUUUUUUAGAAAAUGUGAUGAAAGUGAUAUUUUGGGCAUUUUUUUUAUAUUUAUACAAGUCAUAAAACGGCACCGUUUUGAUAGGGUCAGGACAGCCCCAAAACGACGUCGUUUUGGGCUCCUGACCCGCGACCCGACCCGCUCCGACCCGAAGGAUCCGCGUGUUUUCUUUGCGAAGGGGCUAAUUGCUCGUUUAGCCCCUCCGCAGUUUUAAUUAUUUUUAAUUUAAUCCUUUUUUAAUUUUUGCAAAUUGGCCUAUUAAUUUAGUUUGUUUUUCGAUUUGGUCCUUCGACCAUCUGCGCCCUCCUUCCUGGAACGGCGUCGUUCUGACAUUGAGGGUUUAAUUACCCUUUCGGUCCCUCCUUUUUACGCCCGCUUGCAAUUAGGUCCCUCCGCCUUUUUUUAUUUUUAAAUUGGCCCAGAAACUUUGUUUUAUUUCGAUUUAAGUCCCUUUUAAGCAUGUUUUUUCCUUUUGCUCAUUUAUUUAUUUAUUAUUAUUAUAUUAUUAUUUUUAUAUAUGUGCUUAUAUACUAUAAUAUAUAUGUCUAAAAUUAUUACGAAUCUAUAUAUUUAUAAACUUUAAUAUAUAUCUAAUAAUAAUAUUAUAUUAUAUAUUCAAUAUUUUUUUAUAUCUACCCUGCUUUUUAUUUAUUUAAUAUCUAUAUAUUUAUAUACAUAUACUACAUAAUAUUUAUACCUACGCAUAUACAAUAUAAUACACGUGCAUAUGAAUAUUUUUAUUUUUAUUUUAUGAGCAUUUCUAUUUCCUUAUUUAUGUAUAUACAUGUAUUUUAUAAUUAUAUAUACUUCUUUUUUUGUAUUUAACUUUAUGUUUUUACCUCGUAUAAUUUGUUUCUAACAUACAUACAUAUAUAUCACCAUUUUAUUCAUUAUUAUAAUUAUCAUUUCAUGUUGAUUUAUUUAUUUAUCUACAUGUUCGUUAUUAUUUGCUUAAAUGUCUUUAUUCUGGUUUGUUUAUUUUUUUUAUUUUGUUGACUUUUUAUUAGUUACCAUACAUAAAAAUGUAAUUUGCUUUCACUAUGAUUUUGUGUUUUAUCUUACUUGAUGUAACAAUUUUUUUAAAUGGCAUUUCGUGUUUGGAUUCGAGAAAAUCGUGCCCUAACUUACUGGGUUUCGAUUUUCUCGAUGAAUCUAAAUACACGAAUCUUUUCAAAAUCAAGUUUUAAAUGAUCUCGAAUUUUAAAAAAGGGGUCGCAUCCUAACUUACUGGUUAUGAUCUCAUUUUUAAAUUCGAGAUGGCUAAAAUUUCUUAAAUAAACUUUUUCAUUCGCGUAUCGAGAAUUUGAGAUAUUGUAUUCUAACUUACUGAAUAUGAUUCUUUUUCUCGAAUAACGUGAAAUAUCCUCCUUUUCUUGAAAAUUUUAACAUUUUAAUACAAGGAUCGUAUUUUUAAAAUUCUUUUAAAUUCUCAAUUUUCGACAUUAAGGCAUUAAGUAAUCAACUAGGUACCAAUUUUGGGCGUAUCGAGGGUGCUAAUCCUUCCUCGUGCGUAACCGACUCCCGAACCCGUUUUCUAAAUUUCGUGGACCAAAACCGUUGUUUUAAUAAAAUCAAACCGUUUAUUAAAAACAACUAUCUUUCGAGGUAAUCCAAUCACACCUCAUAAAAAAAAAGAUUGGUGGCGACUCCCAUUUUUGUUUUCAUUUUCCAAAACCCAAGUUGACUCCGUUUUCAUCAAAAAAAUGGUGCCAACAGCUUGGCGACUCCACUGGGGACAUGUUAAGAGAGUCAAGCCACGUGUUGAUUAUUUCUUGUCUUUUUGUCGAAGGUCGAAAAUUCGAUUGAAAUUUACGAUCCUCUCAUUGCGUCUCUAUCGUUUUGAGUUAUAUUUUUAUCGUGUUCUGUAUUUUAUUUUAUACCUCUGCGCAUUGCAUUGCAUGACCGUUGGUCACACCUUUUUAAGUGAGAGUGAGAAGCUACGCCUUCGUGAGGUUUUCACCUCCGCAUGGGAUAGUGAAUCGCUUUCGGGAUAUAUCUGUACCUAUGUCUUCGUGAGAUUUUCAUCUCCGCAUGGCCAUAGGGAAAUGUAUCCCCCUGAAUCGAACUUGGUCCGUAUGAGCCUAUAAUGGGUGAGGAUCGAGGAAUUUGCUGGUUCAGGUACCCUACUUUAGAACCAAACCACAUGUAAUGAGCCAUAGGAACCGACCUAGGUAGAGCUACUCUAAAAUUUUAGUGCCUACCUAAAUGAAUGUUGUAUUUAUUUGUCGUUUAUUUUAAAUCUUAUGCUGUGUUUAAUGCUAAUUUACUUUGUUUGUGAUUGCAUGGCAUCUUCAUUCUAAAAGAGGUGUUGAUUUACGUUCAGUUUCUUAGUAGAAAGCUUAUCAUGGAAAAGGGGUUUGUUGAUAAAGUAGAGGAUAAUGCGGCUGUGCGAAUAUGGGCUGAAACGACGCAACGGGAGAAAGGCGAUAGUCUUACCGAAGGGUACGUGUCAGAAUUGUGGGAUUUUACCCGUAUCAGUGUAAUCCAGAAUGACCUUCGAGAAAUGAAAGAAGUCUGGGAUCAAUGGGAUGUCGAGGCCAAGGAGCUGUUCUAUUGUAACUAUGGUGACCUACCUUAUCUGCUCAGUGUCAAAGUGGACAAGUAUUUAUUCCGAGCCCUUGCUCAGUUUUGGAAUCCUGCCUACAGUUGUUUCACUUUUGGGGAAGGUAGAUUUGACGCCUACUGUGGAGGAGUAUACGACCUUGCUUCGGUGCCCAAAGAUUCAAGUCGACAAGGCUUAUUCCAGAGCUGCUUGUGUCCCUCCGUUGUUAAAGAAAUUAAUGAACAUCACUGGGAUGAGCGAGCAGUGGGUCGCUGCCCGGAUCCAACAGAAGGGCGACAGUAAAUGUGUUCCUUGGAAAAGUUUGCGAGAUUUGGUGCUUGUACAUCCUGACUUAAAGAAAAGGGUCGAUGUCUUCGCUUUAGGUAUCUAUGGACUAUUGGUUUUCCCCAAAGCUUUAGGACACAUAGACGAGGCUGUAUCUGAUUUGUUCGAUCGGCUUGGUAAAGGGGUUACACCGGUUCCGGCAAUACUCGCGGAAACUUUUAGAUCCUUGAAUGCGUGUCGAAAAGCAGGGGAGGGAAGGUUUAUCGGAUGCGCGCAGCUCUUAUUGGCAUGGUUCCAUAGCCACUUCUGGAAAGUCGAAAAGGUCUCUUACCGGGUAUUCUCCGAUAGCUACUCCCCUCUAGGAGAAUUGGUGGCCACGCCAAGACGGGAUGAUAUUUUAGAAGAAAAAUGGAUAGAGAUACUCCAGAAUCUCCAAGAUGAAGAUAUUGAAUGGAGGGCUCCUUGGUUAAUUCCUGAUGAGAUAUUGUACCGAUGUGGAGAUUUUGACUGGGUUCCGCUGCUCGGGAUAUGGGGGGCUAUUGGAUAUGCUCCUCUACUCGUGUCAAGACAGUAUAGAUCACGACAAUUCAUACCAGCAACCCAGGGGUUGGCUUAUAGUGAUUUUUCCUAUAGGGAGGACAAUUACAAGAAGAAGGUUCGAGAAAUAUCUAGUGCCUGGAACCAGACUCGUCGAAUGAAGAUCUUAGCUGUGGGUCCGACAAUUACCCCCGAGUAUGGUCAGUGGCGUAAUCAAAGGAUCAACGACAACAUCCCGGCGUCAAAUUCAGAAACGGCUCGAUCUUUAGAGGAACACUUACAAGUCUUGCCUUCUGAGAUAGAAAUCAUCAAACAAGAAUUCGAAAAAAGAAGUUUAGAAUUGGGGAAGAAGAUAGAACAACUUGAGGAAGAAAAAAUGCAGUUAGGACUGGAUGUGGACAUUCAAAGAUUAGAGGCCAACAAAUUGAGGAAAGGAAAGAACAAGGCAGAAGAAGAUUUGGACAGCCUGAAGACAGAUUACAAGAAGUUGCGUAAGUCAGUAAGAGCCGCUGGCUUGGGUAAAACACCAGAACAAUGGCGACAAGAAAUUCAGGAGGAAAAGACGAAAGCUAAUCAAUGGGAAAAGAAAUUUCAGGAUGCUCGGGCUCGAGAAGCCGCCUUGGGAAAGAGUCUACUAGUUUGCCAAGACGAGAAGACGGAGUUGAAGGUCCGGAUAACAGAACUGGAAAGAUCGCUUCGCCAGUACUGUAAUCGUAAUACUACGGUUGAAUUAAGGGCGAGCUUAGACAAAAUUGAAGAAUUAAAAACACAGAUAGGAGGGCUAGAGAAUGCAUUGCAAAAUAGUGAAAUCCGGAUAGAGCUUCUAGAAGAAAGUAAUGAGCAGUGGCAAGGACAAUUCCGUCGGUCUCAAGAGCAGAUAGGAGAAAGAGAUUAUAUUAUGGGAGAGGCGGUGACUCAGGUGCGCGAAGUGGCUGAUCAUCUGCAAACUCUAGCGGUUCAGGCUGAUCUAUUAAGUUUGAAGUAUGAGUCAGAGUCGGACAGGGGCCGAGAAUUAGCUUGGCUUCUUAGAAAGGUUAAGGCUUUGAGUGUGAGGGCAAAGCCAUAUAUGUAGUCUAUUUUAUGUAAAGAAACUCUUUAUCUAGUAAAGUUUUCUAAUGAAGUUGAAUUAAAAUCAGUGCCUCUUUUUCUUUGCAUUCUCUUUCAUGCAUUGCAUCACAUCAUAUGCAUUAAUGACCAUUAAAAAACCUAAUCGAAUAAAAUCAUUUCAGUUAACCUGGAAAACCAACAAAGUUACGGCACCCGAGCAAAGACAAAAAUUAUGGACCAAAGGUUAGAGAAGCUAGAGCGACUUCAAAGAGAAAUGCAAGACCAGUUGCAGGCGCAAAUGAAAGAGCAAAUAGAAAAGAUUCAGCGUGACAUGGUACAAAAGAUGGAGGAGUCCCAAAAUGAUCUGGUGGCUAAGAUGACGCAAUUAUUGAAGGGAGUAGAUAAGGGUAAAGGGCCUGUGAUUGUUAGUGAAGAAGAAAACAAUGGUGAACCACUCUAUCCUCCAGGUUUCACGCCUCCACAUGUACAGACUGAGCUGCAUUCGCGGAGACCCUCUGUGUCAGUUAGACCCCAGCAGUUCCAAGGCGAUGCUUCAAUCCCAAUGAAUUUUCAACCCGGAGCGGGCUUUAAUCCCGGUGAUAGCCCGAAUAAUAUUGCGGUCCCAGAUCUUGACGAGAUGGUUGAAAAGGACAAGGCGAAGGAGGAAUUUCCAAAACAAUUUGAGGAGAAAUGGAAAUGGAUAGAAGAGAAGUUUAGGGCAAUAGAAAGCAUCGAAAGCUAUGGAACAGAUGCAAAGGAUCUGAGCUUGGUUCCGGACUUGGUGCUCCCUUACAAAUUUAAGAUGCCGGAAUUCGAGAAAUACAACGGGACUAGUUGCCCAGGAUCCCAUAUUACUAUGUUUUGUAGAAGAAUGACGGGGCAUAUUAAUAAUGAUCAAUUAUUAAUACAUUGCUUUCAGGAAAGUCUUACGGGAGCGGCGUCAAAGUGGUACAAUCAGCUGAGCCGAGCUAAAAUUGCUACUUGGAGGGAUUUAGCACAGGCUUUCUUGAGACAAUACAAUCAUGUCUCAGAAAUGAUGCCUGACAGGAUAACUCUGCAAAAUUUAGAGAAGAAAUCAAACGAAAGCUUCAGACAAUAUGCGCAGAGGUGGCGAGAGGUGGCGGUUCAGGUGCAACCACCGCUUUUGGAAAAAGAGAUGACGACGCUUUUUAUUAAUACUUUGAAAGCCCCGUUCAUCACUCACAUGUUGGGAAGCGCUUCAAGAAAUUUCUCAGAUAUAAUCAUGAAUGGUGAAAUGAUUGAGCAUGCCAUUAAAAGUGGAAAAAUAGAUGGAGGAGAAAAUAAUAGGAGGGCACCCCCAAGGAAAAGAGAAAAUGAAGUGAAUAAUGUGAAUGCUUAUGGUAGGUCAAUUACCGUGAAUCAACCAAAGAAAGUGGUUGCUAAUCAACAGGGAUCAUCAAGACAAGAGUCAGGAGCUAGGCAAACUACUGAAAAGCCCCAAUUCACGCCAAUCCCGAUGUCAUACAAGGAGUUGUAUCAGACUUUAUUCGAUGCACAUGUUGUUGCUCCUCGUUACCUGAGUCCUCUACAACCCCCGUAUCCAAAAUGGUAUGAUACGAACGCGCAAUGUGAUUAUCAUGCGGGAAUUUCUGGGCACUCGAUAGAAAAUUGUACUGCCUUCAAGAAGGUAGUAGAAGGACUUAUCAAUUUAGGUGUUGUCAAACUUGACGACUCACCUAACGCAAAGAAUCCGUUACCUAAUCACGCAGAUAAGGGGGUGAAUAUGGUUAGCGAAGGUACGGGAGAAGAAGUCAAGACUGACAUUGCUGAAGUAAAAACUCCAUUGAAAUGGGUCUGGAAAGAAAUGGCGAAAAGAGGUUUGAUUAUUUCAGAUUCUGAGAAAGGGCAUGAGAUGGGAAAUUAUUGUGAAUUUCACCAUGAAACAGGGCAUGAAAUCCAAGAAUGUGAAGGAUUCAAGGCAUUGGUUCAAAGCAUGAUGGAUAACAAGGAGAUGAGGUUUUAUGAAGAUGUGAAAGAAAUGAGGAGCAUAUGCGCGACAGAGUUGGGAACAAAGGCUCCAAAAAUAAAUCAUCCUGUGGUCAUUAUCUCCCGCCCUAAGGGUAAUGAGGUUAGGGCUCAGGUAACGCCGAAAAUUGUAAUCCAGAAACCAUCAAAUUUCUCUUAUAAAGAUAACCAAAUGGUGCCGUGGAAUUACGGGUGUAAUGUGACCAUUUUGGGAAAAGAAGCAGAAAGAAAUCAGGAAACAGUUUUUUACACGCGCAAGGGAAAAAGAUAUGACGCUCAAGCAGAGUCGUCCAGGGAAGAGAAUUGGAAGAAAGAACAGAGGAAAGGGAAGGCAGUAGAAGUUGAACCAUUGGUAAAUGAACCAAUAAAAGAAGAAGAGGCGAAGGAGUUUUUGAAGUUUUUGAAACACAGCGAAUACAGUAUUGUGGAGCAACUGCACAAACAGCCAGCCCGCAUUUCGGUAUUAGCUUUACUCUUAAACUCCGAAGUACAUCGGAAUGCACUCUUAAAGGUGCUAAACGAAACAUAUGUGGCGGACGAUAUUUCAGUAAACAAGUUGGAUCGGUUGAUCAACAAUAUUGGUGCUGACAAUUUUAUCUUCUUCAAUGAUGAUGAAAUACCAUCCGGAGGAAGAGGUUCUACUAAAGCCCUCCACGUUACUGUCCGAUGCAAAGGGUACACACUCCCGGGGGCCUUGGUCGAUAAUGGAUCUGCACUAAAUGUAUUGCCUUUGUCCACUCUUAGUCGAUUACCAAUAGACAGUUCGCACAUGAAAGCAUGCCAGAGCAUAGUAAGGGCAUUUGAUGGAACAAAAAAGGAGGUUAUGGGGAGAAUUGAAGUACCAUUAAGGAUUGGCCCAGUCACUUAUGAGGUGGAUUUCUUGGUAAUGGAUAUUAAACCCUCCUACAACUGUCUAUUGGGGAGACCGUGGAUACACUCAGCAGGGGCGGUACCUUCAUCAUUACAUCAGAAGGUGAAGUUGGUAUCGGAGGAUCGGUUGGUAACAAUAGAUGCAGAGGAGGAUAUUAUCGCAAUGAUGACUAGCGAGACACCUUAUGUGGACAUCAACGAUGAGGCACUGGAAUGUUCUUUUCGGUCGUUAGAAUUUGUGAACGCGAUGUUUAUUGCGGAGGGAAAUAGGAUUCCAGUACCGAAAAUGUCCAGGACCACUGAGAUGGGAUUGCGAUUGAUGGUAGGAAGAGGAGCCUUACCCGGGAAAGGAUUGGGAAAAUAUCUUCAGGGGAGGAUUGAGGCACCAAUGCCGAGGGAAAAGUUUGAUAGAUUUGGUUUAGGGUACAAGCCAGACAUGAAGCAGAAGAAGAAGGAAGUAGAGAAGAGACAAGCGAGAAGAAGGGCGCGUUUGAAUGGACAUGAAGCUAAGUGUGAGCCUUUAACCUUUCCCCACAUAUCUUCAUCUUUUGUGUCGGGAGGAUUUAUUCAUUCUGAAUGUGGGGUAUCCGGUAGCGGCAUGGGAGGAAUGUUGGAAAACGUUUAUAUUAACACCAUAGAAGCAACGGAAAGGAGGGCUUUGUUGGAGAUCCGCCCUUAUGAGCCUGGAAGCGAGCUAAACAAUUGGACUGCUGAAGAAAUCCCUGUAGUCUUUAGGGCUUAUUCAGAGUAAUGCUCAAAACAUUCCUGUUGUUUGUUGGCCUAGAAACGAUACGAAAUUUUUUGUGAAAUAGGCAUUGGGCCUAAAUAUCAUUAUUUUAAUAAAAUACGUGUCUACGUUCAUCUCGAUCAGUCACUUUUUUUUCCUUUCAUAUUUUUCAUUUGGUUGAUUGUCUUACAAAUAAUUCUUUCAUUUGUGAUUCUUUUGCAAACAUAUUCAUAAAUUUAUAUUCUUGGUAUAUUAUUUGAUCUGCCCACAUAGGUCUUCAGAUAUCAAUGACAUGAGUGAUGCUGUCUCAAACGCGGAGCCUAUUUUUGAGCAAGAAGUGUGUUCAGAGGGAUCCCACGACUUUGAAAAUGACGAAGAUUAUGAUGCAUCUCCGGACUUGUUAAGAAUGAUGGAACAAGAGGAUAAGCAUAUCCUACCUCAUAGGGAAUCGUUAGAAAUAGUGAGCCUAGAGGAUGGAAAGGAGGUGAAAAUUGGAACUGAAAUUACCGCAAAGACAAGGCAAGACCUCAUCAAUUUGCUCCGAGAGUUCAAGAAUGUUUUCGCGUGGUCGUACCAAGAUAUGCCUGGGCUAAAUACUAACAUUGUGGUACAUCGUCUGCCCAUAAAGGAGGAUUGUAAACCCGUUCAACAGAAGCUUAGGAGAAUGAGACCUGACAUUGUGUUAAAAAUAAGAGAGGAAGUCAAAAGACAAUUCGACGCUGGUUUCUUACAAGAGGUCAAGUAUUCGGAUUGGGUAGCCAACAUCGUCCCUGUUCCCAAAAAAGAUGGAAAGGUACGAAUGUGUGUGGAUUAUAGGGAUUUAAACAAGGCUAGUCCAAAGGACAACUUUCCACUACCUCACAUUGAUACUUUGGUAGAUAACACGGCGGGCCAUUCAUUGUUUUCUUUCAUGGACGGUUUCUCUGGAUACAAUCAAAUAAAGAUGCAUCCCGGAGACAUGAGGAAAACCACAUUCAUUACCUUAUGGGGAACGUUCUGUUACAAGGUAAUGCCCUUCGGAUUGAAGAAUGCGGGAGCAACGUAUCAAAGAGCUAUGGUGACUUUGUUUCACGACAUGAUGCACAAGGAGAUCGAAGUCUAUGUUGACGAUAUGAUCGCGAAGUCCAGAACGGAAGAAGAGCAUGUUCAGGUUUUGAAAAAGUUAUUUUUGAGAUUAAAGAAAUUUCAGCUCAAGCUUAACCCGGCCAAAUGCACGUUCGGAGCCAGAUCAGGGAAGUUAUUAGGCUUCAUAGUUAGCAAAAAGGGGAUCGAGGUUGACCCAGACAAAGUAAAGGCAAUACGAGAUUUACCUCCCCCGCGCACUCAGAGGGAGGUUCGAGGUUUCCUAGGGAGGCUGAAUUACAUCGCUCGGUUCAUCUCACAACUGACAGAGAAAUGUGAUCCAGUAUUCCGGCUCUUAAAGAAACAUAACCCGGGCGAAUGGGAUGAAGAGUGUCAGAGAGCUUUCGAUAAGAUAAAACAGUACUUGGCUAAUACUCCAGUCUUAUCACCUCCAAGUCCAGAUAGGCCGUUGAUAUUGUAUCUAACAGUGCUGGAGAAUUCCAUGGGAUGCGUAUUGGGCCAACAUGAUGAGACGAGAAAGAAAGAAAGGGCAAUAUACUAUCUCAGUAAGAAAUUUACCGAUUGUGAGAUGAGGUACUCAUCAAUUGAGAAGUUGUGUUGUGCUCUAAUCUGGGCAACCCGAAGACUGAGGCAGUAUAUGUUGUAUCACACGACUUGGCUGAUUUCAAAGUUAGAUCCUUUAAAAUAUAUGAUGGAAUCAACUGCUUUGAACGGGAGAAUGGCUAGAUGGCAGAUCUUGCUCUCAGAAUUUGAUAUAGUAUAUGUCAGUCAGAAGGCCAUAAAGGGAAGUGCAAUAGCCGAUUUCCUAGCUAGUAGAGCCUUGGAGGACUAUGAAUCUUUGAAUUUUGAUUUUCCAAACGAGGACUUGAUGUAUGUGGCGAAUACUGAAGAAAAUCCUCAAAUGGAUCACGUAUGGAAGUUAAAUUUUGAUGGAGCUUCGAAUGCUACGGGUAAUGGAGUUGGGGCAGUUUUGGUAUCCCCGAGUGGAGAUCAUUAUCCUGUUGCCAGUAAGUUGGACUUCGAUUGUACAAAUAAUAUGGCAGAAUAUGAAGCAUGUAUUAUGGGCAUUCGUGCAGCCAUUGAACGGAACAUCAAAGUACUGAGAGUAUACGGGGAUUCAGCGUUGGUGAUAUACCAACUCAAAGGGGAGUGGGAGACUAGAGAUCCUAAGCUAAUUGGUUAUAGAAAACUAGUUCUUGAAUUGGCUGAGGAGUUUGACGAUAUCACCUUCUAUUACCUCCCACGGGAGGAAAGCCAAAUGGCUGAUGCAUUAGCUACUCUAGCUUCGAUGAUUCAGGUGAAUAGACUUGAGGCAAUGAGGCCUGUUCAGAUGAGUAUCUCUGAGACCCCGGCUAAUUGUUGCAAUAUUGAGGAGGAGGGAAAAGAUGAUUGUCCUUGGUAUCGGAGUAUCUUACAAUAUGUGAAGAAUCGGGAAUACCCUGAUCAAGCGACAGAGAAUGACAAAAGAACUCUGAGAAAGAUAGCCAUUGAAUAUGUCUUAGAUGGAGAAGUGUUAUAUAAAAGAAGGAAGGAUCAAGUACUGUUAAGAUGUGUAGAUGCGGUAGAAGCCAAGAAAAUUUUGGAGGAAGUCCAUGAGGGUAUUUGUGGGACGCACGCCAGUGGUUUCGCGAUGGCCAGACAGAUCAUGAGAUUUGGGUACUAUUGGCCCACCAUGGAAGGAGAUUGCAUUGAUCAUGCCAGGAAGUGCCACAAAUGCCAAAUUUACGGAGACAAAAUACACGCGCCUCCUUCACCUCUUCACGUCAUGACCUCUCCUUGGCCGUUUUCCAUGUGGGGUAUGGAUGUUAUUGGGCCAAUAUCACCAAAGGCUUCUAAUGGGCAUCGCUUCAUCUUCGUAGUAAUUGAUUACUUUACCAAGUGGGUGGAGGCUGCUUCAUAUGCAAAUGUCACAAAAGCAGUAGUCAGCAAAUUCUUGAAGAAGGAGAUCAUUUGUCGAUAUGGGAUGCCUGAGAGGAUCAUAUCCGACAACGCGAUGAACUUGAAUAAUAGCACAAUAGCUGAAGUUUGUAGCAAAUUUAAAAUUAAGCAUCAUAACUCAUCGCCGUAUCGUCCCAAAAUGAAUGGUGCAGUGGAGGCGGCCAAUAAAAACAUUAAAAGGAUUGUGGGGAAAAUGACUGAAACCUACAAAGAUUGGCAUGAGAAACUAUCAUUUGCUCUCCUCGCCUAUCGAACAUCUGUUAGAACUUCUACUGGGGCAACGCCUUUUGCUCUGGUUUAUGGAAUGGAGGCAGUAUUACCCAUUGAAGUUGAAAUCCCUUCUCUACGGGUGUUAUCCGAGCUACAGUUGGAUGAAGCCGAUUGGAUCCAAUCUCGGUACGAUCAGUUGAACCUAAUAGAAGAAAAGAGGCUAAGAGCUAUUCACCAUGGGCAAAUGUACCAGAAACGAAUGAUGCGAGCUUAUAAUAAAAAGGUUCGCCCCCGAGAAUUUCGUGAAGGGGACUUGGUACUAAAAAAGAUUCUUCCUAUGCAAAAAGAUUUUAGAGGAAAAUGGAUGCCAAAUUGGGAAGGCCCUUAUGUUGUAAAGAAGGCCUUUUCCGGUGGAGCUUUGAUCCUAUGCGAGAUGGAUGGCAAAAGUUUACCAAAUCCUGUAAACGCAGACUCUGUUAAGAAAUACUUCACUUGAAAGAAAGGGGAACCAAAGUGAAAACCCGUAAAGGGCGCUUUGCUUCCUAAAAAAAAAAAAAAAAAAAAAAAAAAAAACUUUGGAGAGGCUAAGGUGAAAACCCGUAAAGGGCACUUUGAGACCAAAGAGGGCUUGAGUCGAAAACCCGAAAAGGGCGACUCGAGUAUUGGGCAGGAUUGGAACAUCAGGACUUGAGCGGAUCAAAUUUUGAUCAGGGGCAUAUGAUGAUCUUGCUUUACCAAUAAGGAAGGAUAUGCAACGUCUCGGAACAUUGACAGAGUAUUGCAGAUUUUCUGAACACAUGUCAAACUCAGAAGGGUCUUCGGAAAGUUUGUACAGAGAAACUCAAGCGGCGAUAACUGGGGCACCUGGUUCUUAUGUGUAUUCUUGAAAAUACAUUUUCUUUCUUUCUUCCUUGCCUUUUGUGAAAACACACAUUCUCAAUCCACUUCUUUGUUACCUUUCUUUCGUCAUUUUUGAUGUUUUAUUCGAGUCAUGAUCAGAACUAGCUUUAUUCUUAUCCAUUGUUAUGAUCUUUUUGCAAACAUGUUGCAUAGGAAUAUUGAUUAACGAACUAAUAAAACUUUCAGGAAAGAAGUUUUGCAUAUUACUCUGAAAAGUUCUAAAUAAUAUAGAAACCUGAAACAGGACUAUUGUUUAGAAAACACCAAGUUUAAAGGGUGAAGUAUCUAAGAAGGAAGAGUCUAAGUUAAAGACUAUAUUUUUUGGAUUUUGUUGUCCAAACAUUGAUUGAACAAAAUGACGAGAUGUCGUGUUGGUGACAAAGCUUCAAUGAACAAACAAGCAAUGAUCACCAAAUGAUAAGAAAAGGUUUUCUCGGAGAGGAAAAUUUUGCAAUUGUGCAUGAGCAUUUGGUAUGACACCUUGGGAAUGAGGUAAAGGACCAAAGAGCUUCACAUUCUGUAUCCUUGAAUUGCGAUAAGAGAAGAUUGAAAAAAGCCAUAUCUUUCUACCCUUGGAUUAUAGUGGGAGAAUGAUGGUACAAAUUUUGUGCCCUAAUAGAUUAAACUUUAAGGUUUACAGUGGGGGGCAACCAGAUUAAGUGUUUCUUUGGAUAUACCAGACGAGCAAAAAGGUGUUGUAGUACGUCAGUGAUAAAACCUUAAUAAGUUUUUACGUGAUGUUAACCUAAGCAUUAAGGAAUCAUCUUCAUGACAUUUUGCAUUCACUCAAAUGUCAUUCAUACAUAUCUAGUUAGGAGCAUUUGAUUCAUUCUGAUUAUGUCAUCCGAAUCACUAGGCACAAUUAGGUUCAUAAAAUAGAACAUACAGGUCAUGUUCCCCAAGGGACAGAUCAAUGAAGACAAAGGAUCUUGCCUUUCUGCAUUGACAGCGAAGCAGAUCGAAGACACAAACCUUGCCUCUUUCGGUUGUGAUAGAGCUGGUUGAAGACAAAAGAUCUUGCCUUCCUACAUUAACAGCGAAGCAGAUCGAAAACAAAGCCUUGCAUCCAUCGAUUGCAGUGGAGCUAGUUAAAGAAGUAGGUCUUGCCUUCCUGCAUUAACAGCGAAGCAGAUCAAAGACAAAGCCUUGCCUCCAUCGGUUGCAUUGGAGCAGAUUGAAGCCAGAGAUCUUAUCUCCCUGAGAUUACAGCGGAGCAGAUCAAAGAUAGUAAUCCUAUCUCCUUGAGAUUACAAUGGAGCGGAUUAAAGGAUCUUAUCUCUCUGAAGUUACAGUAGAGAAGAUCACAUCAGGUCUUAUCUCCCUGAGAUUACAGUGGAACAGACCAAAGAAUUUCAGAUCUUAUCUCCCUGAGGUUACAGCGGAGCAGAUCGAAGAUAUAAUCCUAUCUCCCUGAAGUUACAGUGGAGCGGAUUAAAAUAAAGGAUCUUAUCUCUCUGAAGUUACAGUAGAGUAGAUCGCAUCAGGUCUUAUCUCUCUGAGGUUACAGUGGAGUAGACCGAAGAAUUGCAGAUCUUAUCCCCCUGAGGUUACAGUGGAGCAGAUUGAAGCCAGAGGUCUUAUCUCCCUGAUAUUACAGUGGAGUAGACUUAAACCUAAAACCUUGUCCUUCUGAAGUUGUGGCAGAGUAGAUUGAAGCUACAAGUCGGACAUCCCUGAAGUGCAAUGGAUUGAAGCGACAAGACAGUGGAUUGGAAUAAAGCUAUUUGAAGAAAAGAAGCACUAGAAGAAGUCAAGAUUCGGCAAGACCGGGCAAAAUUGGCCUUUCUUGGUCUUUGCUCUGUUCUCGUUACACGACAACGAGCAAAGAGGGGCAGCUGUUGCAGGCCAUUUUGCCCGAGGCCCAAUUAAACACAAAAUAAAACUACCCAAUUACAACACCCAAUACCCAACAGCCCAAUAGCCCAAAAAUCAUCAAAAAAUAGAAAAAAAACCUAACCCUAGCCUCUGACAGCCACUUGUGCCGCACCCAGGCCUGCUAGUCAACCACCCCACCGACUCACCUGCUCCAACUGCUCCGCCAGUACCUGCAACAAACACCAACAAGCAACAGCAAAUACUGAUAGCAAAAAGAGAUUUUUUG
Molecule: long non-coding RNA, 15031 nt
Filed under: Gossypium barbadense (sea-island cotton)
Lineage: Eukaryota; Viridiplantae; Streptophyta; Magnoliopsida; Malvales; Malvaceae
Description: long non-coding RNA (GBAR_LNC003703)
Source: RNAcentral